UUGGACGGCCAUAGGGGCUUGGUUACACCUGAUCCCAUUUCGAACUCAGAAGUUAAGCAAGCUUCCGUUUCUGUUGGUACUGCAUUCAGCGGGAAAGCAGGAAAGCUGUCCGCC
This 114-nucleotide ribosomal RNA is filed under the name Candidatus Woesearchaeota archaeon. Lineage: Archaea; Nanobdellati; Candidatus Woesearchaeota. The record is from RNAcentral.